AGACCGUGAUGGGGUCAACGUCUAAGUAUUUCCUUAAAACGUUCCCACACAUCGAAAAGAGAUUCCCCGUUCAUUUGAGUAAAUUGGUAAAGCUUUCCCCUAAGUUG
This is a small nucleolar RNA of Medicago truncatula (barrel medic), 107 nucleotides long. It matches the Rfam family "Plant small nucleolar RNA R71". Rfam says of the family: R71 is a member of the C/D box family of snoRNAs containing the C (UGAUGA) and D (CUGA) box motifs. Multiple nearly identical copies of this snoRNA have been identified in Arabidopsis, and it is thought to function as a 2'-O-ribose methylation guide for 18S ribosomal RNA. NCBI's taxonomy places the organism in Eukaryota, Viridiplantae, Streptophyta, Magnoliopsida, Fabales, Fabaceae. The record is from Rfam.